Molecule: ribosomal RNA, 784 nt
Filed under: uncultured bacterium
Lineage: Bacteria
Description: bacterial SSU rRNA
Rfam family: Bacterial small subunit ribosomal RNA
Source: RNAcentral
UCGAGCGGUAGCACAGAGAAGCUUGCUUCUUGGGUGACGAGCGGCGGACGGGUGAGUAAUGCAUAGGAAUCUGCCCGAUAGUGGGGGAUAACCUGGGGAAACCCAGGCUAAUACCGCAUACGUCCUACGGGAGAAAGGGGGCUUCGGCUCCCGCUAUUGGAUGAGCCUAUGUCGGAUUAGCUAGUUGGUGAGGUAAAGGCUCACCAAGGCGACGAUCCGUAGCUGGUCUGAGAGGAUGAUCAGCCACAUCGGGACUGAGACACGGCCCGAACUCCUACGGGAGGCAGCAGUGGGGAAUAUUGGACAAUGGGCGCAAGCCUGAUCCAGCCAUGCCGCGUGUGUGAAGAAGGCCUUCGGGUUGUAAAGCACUUUCAGCGAGGAAGAACGCCUAGCGGUUAAUACCCGCUAGGAAAGACAUCACUCGCAGAAGAAGCACCGGCUAACUCCGUGCCAGCAGCCGCGGUAAUACGGAGGGUGCAAGCGUUAAUCGGAAUUACUGGGCGUAAAGCGCGCGUAGGUGGCUUGAUAAGCCGGUUGUGAAAGCCCCGGGCUCAACCUGGGAACGGCAUCCGGAACUGUCAAGCUAGAGUGCAGGAGAGGAAGGUAGAAUUCCCGGUGUAGCGGUGAAAUGCGUAGAGAUCGGGAGGAAUACCAGUGGCGAAGGCGGCCUUCUGGACUGACACUGACACUGAGGUGCGAAAGCGUGGGUAGCAAACAGGAUUAGAUACCCUGGUAGUCCACGCCGUAAACGAUGACAACUAGCUGUCGGGGCUCUUGGAGCUUC